AGGGGUGUGGAUGUGUGAACUUGGCUGUCUCAUAAUACCUCCUUGGAAUUCAAAGAGUGGUAUUAACCAGCUCCAGAGGGAAUAAUACCCAUUCAUUUUUCGCCCGAGGGCCUCCACCAUAAUUCUGAUUUCUGAAGUUAGCCAAGAGUAAAAGGAAUACCCCCACCCUUCCUGCUUCCAGCAUCCUAGGGUGGCCAGUUGCUUUCAUAGAACGUAAAUUGCAGGUAGUUUAAGUGAGACAAGAGUCGAUGGCCUGAGCUGUCUGACAACCCAUGCCUGCCUGGAGCUUCCCACCACAGUGGCUGACACACUAACCACUGGCUUAAAUGGGUGUUGAUGAUGUGGGAUUUCAUGUUAUUUGUGACUUGUACAACUUAAUGACUGGGAGGCAUUAGAAACUUGGUAAGUUAAUACAAGUAGAUACAUAAUAGUUGUAUCCUCCUGCAGUAUUGUUAACCAGAUCUCUGUCUCAGAAUGUCGGGAAUGUAUAAUUGGGAUCCUGAAAACCGAUAUUCCUCUUUUAUGUAAGGCAAUCUUUUGAAAUCUAAUACUUCUUUUGAAAAGUCUAGUAUGUUUAAAUUAAUGCAGUUUGAGUGGUUUGAAGAUUGAAAAUAGGUUAGCAUUAAGGCCAUGAUUCCUUUAGUAAUUACUUUUUCUUUUGGUAAUAACUGUUUCUUUUUUUUAAUAACUGUUUCUUUAGAAAUGACAUUAACAUUCUACCAAAACACAGCAGUAAUCCAA
This 741-nucleotide long non-coding RNA is filed under the name Bos taurus (domestic cattle). RNAcentral describes it as "long non-coding RNA NONBTAT001871". The record is from RNAcentral. Lineage: Eukaryota; Metazoa; Chordata; Mammalia; Artiodactyla; Bovidae.